Molecule: RNA transcript, 2221 nt
Organism: Hordeum vulgare subsp. vulgare (domesticated barley)
Lineage: Eukaryota; Viridiplantae; Streptophyta; Magnoliopsida; Poales; Poaceae
Exons: 4
Source: RefSeq, a predicted model, not a curated record
CCCCAAUUAGCUUAUUAUUUUUGGGGGACCAAUUAGCUUAUUAUGCCAACAAACUUAGACUACGACCAUGUCUCGAUCGAACUUCGAUGGAAAAAUCAAACGAACCGCUUACAACAAAAAAACAAAAUCCCACCAAAUAUCAACCCUCUCCGAUCAACACCACCCCGACCCAAUCCACCUUCUUCCCCAUCCAUGGUCACCCAACGCCGCCUCGUCCACCUCCGUUUGCCGCGGCAUGGGCUCCCCGAGCCACACGCCACCAGGGCUCCUCGAGCCACCUGUCGGAUACCCAUGCCGCCGGUAGGUGGGUGUUUGCUGCGAGAUUCAGCUGGGGGUGGCUGUGAAGGGAUGCACUAGGCGGAGGAGGUUCGCCACGCGCCCCGACUUCGAGUCGUCCUACCUCCGCAGGGCUCCCACGGCUCCUCCCCCGCACCCGGAUACAUCUCCCUCGUCCUACCUAGGCCCCUCCAAGGCGGCCCGCUAUCGGAGCAGAUAACGGCGGCCGCAGGAGGUAUGUGAGGGUGUCUGCACACAAGGUCCCCGUGGAUCGACCUCUACAGCCGCCGAUGCCUAUCCUGCCCUUCGCCAGCCCUCUCCUCAAGCUUGUCCACUUCACCUCGCCGACCCUAUGUUUCGGAUCCCGACCGGAUCCGUACUGUAGAUUACUUUCCUCAAAUUGUUUUUUAGAUUCCUCACCAUUUAGUUCUCCCCUCAGCAGCCCCUCGUGCAGCCCACAUGCUUCUCCCUCAACAGCCCCGCCGGAUUCCAACGAGUUCUCCCACGCGAGCAUAACCGAGUGGCUUCGUCCACUACCUGCAGUCCACGGCGCGAUGGCCCCCUUCCGCUGGGUUGUUGGUCGCCCUCCUCCCCUGGAUGCCUCCGCUUUCGUGCGUCUACAUCUCGCGUGCAACAUAUGGAUGGGUGGCUACAGUUCAGUUGCAAUUAGCAGUUAGUGCCAGGUUAGUGGGUGCAACAAGUAGUGUGCGCUGCUUCAGAUUACUACCAAGGGCACGUGCAGGGCGAACCGUACCAGGACCCUCCGGUGAUGGCGCCGCCGCACUACGCCAUGCCGCCGCUGUGGGUACAACCUAGCUUCCUUGAAGGCUGGUAAGUUAAACACUUGCCUCGUGCAUGGCUAAUUACUUUGUCCCCGACCGCUACUUUUGUUCAAUCUUUGGCUUCCUAGAUUUUGUAAUCAGCUUCGAUCAACAAAAUUAAGGGCGUGUUUGGUUGCCUACAUCGUUUUUUUUGACCAUUUGUAUACUUGUUCCAGAUUUGUAUACUUGUUCCAGUUGGACCUGGUUGAGCAAAUGCAGACAAAAAAUGAACAUCUGCAUGUUGAUUGGUUGCGUGCAUGUCCUCUCCCUGCAUCGUAGCGAUGCCUCUACGCAUCGUGUUUGGUUGCUCGCAUUCUUACACACAUUCACACCAAACACACCAGCGCCACAACACAACUAUGACGAUGAACUGGACGAAGAUCAUAAAGUUCUUCAGCCUAAUGGUCGACCUACCUUGCCAACGGCAAACUUGCUGCAUGAAUGCUCUCGCACAUACUUGGAGUAAGCAUCUUCUGCCGCGUACCUAGUCUUAAACCCUCCCGUGUGUUUACUCUUGCCGUACCCUGAAACUUGUUUGUUGCAAGCUUUUCAUAAACUGUAAACCCCUGAAACCCUACCUUUGAAGACCACAUACCACUUGCCCGGGCACAAGAGCAAUAAGUUCAAGCAACAAACAUUGCAACACACAUACAAUAAGCAAUGAAGAACUCUAGGAGCAAACAGUGAAGCAGAAGAACAUUAGUAAGCAUGCAUGAUCAUAGCAAGUUCAACCUACACUACUUUGAUGUCAUCCUAACACCACAUCCAAAAAUGUGUGCACUCCAAACAGCCCAUUUUCGUCUCGCGCGGGUCUGGCUGGGCCUAAUGCAGGCAACCAAACGCCUACUAACUCCCUAACUAGUGAUUAGUAGCUGCCUGAUCAACGAUUGCUGCUGCGACCCGUCUAUUAUCUUCGUCGGCUCGAAUAGGAUCAGCCAAGCCAAGGCACCGGACCCGGCGUGCGUGAACUGUAGACAGAGAUGGACUAAAGGAUAUUUACCACGUCUGUUGCCAUGCUAUCUAUGAUCUCUCUAUAUAUAUGCUAUGUAUUCGCUUAUUGUUAUCUCAUUUCAGUGUUGCAUGUGUAACUCGAAUCCAUCAAUAACAAAGGCUUCAUGAUCUUA